AAAGUAUGUUGCCUUUGACAAAGCAACAUGCAAUGCUCCAACUAAAAUUGUAGAAGAGAAGCAAUUACAUCUGCUUCAGGGAAAUAAAAGGGCAAGUGUGACUCUGAAUCUUUUUACGCACAUUUAGCGUUCAGUUGUAAGUAUGUGAAGCAGGACCCAACUUUCUUUUCUUUUAAAGAUACCAUGUUGCAUCAUCUUUCUACCACAUGGACACUGUCACAUUUGCUGACUAAUCCCACAAUUAGGAUGUGAGAAACUUCCUGAUAAAUUAGACUGAGCCAUGCCAUUGUUUUACUAGCCAAGGACUGCCUAAUUUGGCAGCAGCUAUCCAAGGUAAGGCAAGUGAAAAUAUCUGUAUACUGUAUUAUUUAAAGUAGUUGAAUGUGGUACCAUAUCAUCCAAGUUUAAAUUGUUUACGUUUGGCCCUAUUUUGCUACUUGAGAUUCCCCAGCCUGUUUGAAAGCAGCAAAUUACUAAACAUGGGAAACUUUUCUGAAAUAAAAAGGUAUUGAGAAAAGAUCUAAACAGAAAAUGAAAGGGAGCUAGUAAAUCUUUAUAAAGGCUUUUCACUAUUUUGGCAUCACCACUGAAAAAGCUUUUUAAAUUGUUAGCUGAAAUUGUUUUUAAUUUGUUGCGUUGCUUUAAAAUCUGUAUUUACUCAUUUUUUUUAAUUUUAAAUGUAAACUGUAAUAUGAUAAAAUUCAAAAAUACAUUUUACUUUAUCUUACAACAAAUAAUUUUGCAUUAGGUCACUGAAAGCAAUCCCAGAGACAACAGUGUCAAUGUUCAGUCACAGGAAACAAAGGAAAUAGGAUUUCAAUGACACAUUUGGAGCCCAGAUGUUUUGGCGCAUGAAAUAGAUAAAAGUUCAGGAAACUGUUUUCUAGGCUGAGUAAAAUAUGCAUGCAGCAGCAUAGUACUUUCAUAAGUGGGCAUUUCAGUGUACCUAAAUGAGCAGCUAGAUUGAAUGGAUAUUGUGAAAGGAAUAGUGAAGAAAAUGGAAAGAAUAUGCAAGAUAAUAGAAAAAAGUGAAGGUGAAGCCAAGUUUGUUGUUUGAUGUUUGUGUCUCAUCCCAAGGUGAGAUAUGUUAGCAAUUUCCUCAGAUUUUCUGGAGGCAAAAUGCUUUAUGCAAACCAUUUCCAAAUAGUUCCUUCGCUGUGUCACCACUGUUCUAAGCAUGACUCUAUUUUAUCUAUUCCAUCUUUAACUAUAUUCAUCAAUGCUACAUCUGCAUUGACAGAGUGCCCCACCAUUAUAUCUGAGGCUUUGUGCAGCUGUAUCUGUCAUCUAGUGUUGUGCAGGCAUAGUGGGGCUUCCAAUAUAUCACAUUACCUCUCAUCUAGUGUAACAAGUAUAGGACUGCAUCCAUAGUGCAUCAAAUGAGCAUGUGGAUUGGCUGUUAAUAUAAAUACAUUUGUAUUACCAUUUUUGGUCCAAGACAUAACCUUGAUGCAACCUAUGUAAUUCUAUGUGUUGUGUUCAUUCCUACAACUCAGACGUAGUUGUUACAACUGCUUCAGAGCAGAAAAAUAACAACUGCCCACAGAGCAACUGAGUUCUCCCAUUCCCUUCAGAACUUUAAACUAAAUCCUGAGAGUGAUGGAGACGAUAUUACAGAUAACAGGGAAGCACCUGAUACUGGGGAUAAUAGUUUCAUUGAUGCACAGGAAACUGAGGCAGUGCUACAGAAACCUGAUAAAUGGCAAGAAACUACAAAAAGGAAACAGCUGGAGGGAAUGACUCAUGGUUUCAGUUGUUUCUACCAAUGCACAGAGUAUGGGAAACAAGCAGGACAAAUUUGAGCUCUCAAUAAAGUAUGGCAAAUAUGACCUAAUAGGCAUUACUGGAAUGUAGAAAUGGUAAGGUAUAUAUCAGAACAAACAGACCAAACAGGGAGGGAGGAGGAGUAGCAUUAUAUGUAAAGAAUGUGUACACUUGUGAAGAGAUCCACGACUUGGAGCAUGGAAGGCAGAUUGUGGGUGUAUGGGUAACAUUUGUAGGAGAAGGAAACUACACUAGCCUUACUGUGGGUGUCUGCUAUAAACCUCCAAGCCAGACUGAAGCCUUCCUGGAGCAGAUUACCUAGCAUUCAAAAAGGAGAGAUAUAGUAGUUUGGGAGACUUCAACUACCCCAUAUCUGUUGGAACACAAACUAUGCCAAGAAUUCCUCCAUUGCCUCACUGACAAUUUCAUUUCCCAAAAGGUGGAAGAAGCGACAAGGGAAUAAUCUAUCUUGGACCCGGUUUUCACCAAGGGGAGAACUAACUGAUAAAGUGGAAGUACUAGGAAUCUUGGGAGGAAGUAAUCAUGUGCUACUGGGUUUCAUUAUACAAGGGCAGGGGAAAGCUGAGUGCAGUCAGACAUUGUCAUGGACUGGCUGGAUGCAGAGAAGUAAUGGGAGGCACUAGCUGGCGAACUCCCAAGGGAACCUCCAGGCAAAGAAAGCUCAGAGCCAGGGGAUUGGUGGUUGGACAACAAUGAGAAGAGAAGACUGGGAGGAGGAGGUGUCAGAAGCUGAAGAGGUAACGGUUUAGUGAACAGGAGGAGGCUCUGGCAGAGUGCAGUUGUGACUUCUGAUGUAGAAGCAAAGGGGAGGUCAAAAGGCUGACUGGAGGCAGGCUGCUGAAUAAGCCAGAGUAUCUCCCCUUCCUGCUGUGAUCACCCCCCUCUCCCAAAACACACAGAGAAAUGAAAAGGGCAAAGCAAAGAGAGGCAAGAUGCCAGAGCCUUAGGCUGCUGGGGAAGGAACCAGGGGAGGAACCUUAGAAAUACCUACUGGGAAGAGUUGCUGUGAUCACUACGCCUGUACUGUUUUAGUUUCUUUCAAUAAAGAGUUAACUUCACUGACACCAGUGGUUUUUUUAUUGCUGAUCUCUGACUCUGGCUCAUGACAGCUAUGUACUCUGGAGAUAUGAUAGCCAUCUUCAAAUAUUUGAAGGGCUGUCACAUGGAAGAUGAAGCAAGCUUGUUUUCUCCUGCUCCAGAGGCUAGGAUCCCAACCAAUGACUUCAAGUUAAAAGAAAGGAGAUUCCGACUAAACAUCAGGAAUAACUUUUUUAUGGUAAAAGCUGUUCAACAGUAGAAUGGACUCCCUCGGAAGGUGGUGGACAUUCGUUGCAGGUUUUUAAGCAGAAGUUGGAUAGCCAUCUAUCAUCGAUGCUUUAGCAUUGCAGGGGGUUGGACUAGAUGACUUUCCAGAUCCCUUUCAACUCUACAGUUCUAUGAUUCUAUGAUGUAGUAUAAUUUCUUUCCAGACAUAAUUACCCUCUCCAUUUCCACAGUCUCACUUUACACAAAUGAAAGUCACUGGCAGAUGCAGGGAAGUGCUCAAGAUAACUGUCAGGAAACAGGACAUUGUUUACAAAGUGGGAGCAGGAUAAUUCAGCACAUUUUCUGAGGAAGUCCCGGCUUCUAAGGUGCAUUUCUGCCCUAAGAGUGUUUAUGUUAUCAAUGCAAGCACAACAGUUCUUAGUGGUUUUUAAUCUGGUGGUACAUACCUAUUUUUGCAUGUCACUAACCAAGAACUAGAGUGAUAGAUGAAGGCUUUAUCAUCAUGAUCAUAAAUGGCUCCUGCCAGUCCAAUGGUAUACCCAAUGUGGGUCUAACAUGGCAUUGGCAGUGCUACUAAUUCAGUGCAGACUCUGAAAGCAUGAUUCAGAUUGUGUGGAUCUAUUGUGAAUCAGUGCACCUCUGGAUUGUUGUUGGAAAAAGUGAGUGGGUUUUUGCUGGAACCUUAGACUGCCUGUGUGGGUGUGUGAAGACAAAUACCUGUAGAACCAAUAAUUUUAUCCUGACAGACUCAGGGGGAGACCCAUGUAUGGCACCUUGAGCUCCUUGGAGAAAAGAUGGAAUAUGAAUAUAAUAAUAAAGAAUGAUUUCUAUUAUUACAUUUAUACCUCACUUUUCUUCCAAAUAGCUUAAGUUGGCGUACAUGGUUCUCCCCCUCUCCAUUUUAUCAUCACAACAACUCUAUGGAGUAGAGUAGGCUGAGAUAUGGUGACUGGCCCAAGGUCACCCAGUGAACAUCAUUGGUAAAUGGAGAUUUGAGCCCUGCAGUAAACAUGCAUUUCCUGAGAUAGCUUGCAUUUGCUGAGAAGGCAUAGGGUAGGAAUAGAUGAGUGGGCUCGUAGUUUUGCAUAGCAAGGGAUAUAUACUGUACCUUUCUCCUUGUCUGACUUUUUGGUAACCGUAAACAUGAUGCAGUAAAGAUUUUGAAGGCAAAAGUUAAUUAGCUUUUUUCCAUUUUGUGCAAUACUAUACCUGAGAUUGGUGCAUCAUAUUGAAUUCCAAGGAGCCAGGAGAAUUACAGGAAAAAUCCAGGGUGUCUGAAAAUUUGACAUUCAUGCCUAGACAUGUUAUCAUGUCUUCUGUUUUGUGUAGGGUUCAGGGCCGGCCCACCCAUGAGGCAAGUUGAGGGGACCACUUUAAAAGGCAAGAUCUACAGGGGCAGCAAAUUCAGGCUCCAAAUAACUCAUUGCUCGCUGCUGCUGCCAAUGCCGCAGGCUUCUUGGAAGCCAGAUCUGUCUCCUCCUCCUCAGCCUCUUGGCAAGUAGGAGUUGUUGCUGGUCUCUUCCCACCCUUGGGAAAUGACCCUCAGAUCCAGGGUUACUACAGAAAUUUUAGGUGACCUAGCAGAAGCAAACUAUAGAACCAAAGCAACAUGGGACUGCGCACACUUGAUCCCUCAUGAACUUGAAGAUCAAGAAGUAGGGCGUGUUCCGAGUGCAGUCUUUCUGUAAGACGAGAUCGCUUUCUGUUGUAGCACAAGAAUUAUGGGACAUUUCACUUUAAAGGGCCUGCCAAGCACUGUCUUUAUCCAAGUUUUGAUAACAGGUGGCAUCAUUGUACUAUUAAUUUAGUCCAAACAAAUUUUGUCCAGAUCUCUUGUCUGUGGAGCCAGCUUUAUUGAUAGCCAGCUAGAGCUGAGUCAAGAGUGUGAGACAAAGAGCUUUAUUUCAAGUGAGUUUGUUAGUAUAGAGGCAAAUGAGCCAUCAAAAACCCCAGUUAGCAUAUCUGUAUCCUUCCUGCUUUCUUGCUAUGCUAUCUUGGCCCCCCAUCUCCUUAGACUAAGACAGUAUAAGAACAUUCUUUACAUAAUAUAUAUUUACUUAGUUCAAGGGCCAAACUAGUAAUUACAGCAUCAUGACCAACUAGGAUAAUUUCAAGACAUGCAAAUUGGAGAUCAGGAGGCAGGGAAAAGUAACUGAACACACACAUUCUCUCCAUCCCACUUUCCCCUUUAAUUUUUUUCCAAGACCUGAUAACACUCUGCCAAAUAAAUUAUUAGGCAUCUUGCACACACUUUUAUUUUCUAAAUACCUUAAUUCUCUGCCAGCGUUGGAAAUUCAGUUUCAUUGUAUUAAACGAGAUUGCUUUUAUUGAAGGAUUAUCUUGUUCUGAAUGGAAAUGGAAUUUUUCACACCAUAAAAAUGUUGUGAGCCAUACAUUACCAAUGUAUUUGAAGUAUUUGAAGAGUUGGGUGGUUUCAGGAAUAUGGUACUUCAACUCAAACUUAGUCUCUUUCCUGUUUUGAGAGGAAGCUGGUGGCAGUUCUAUCAAUGUCAUUAAAUAAUCUCUUUACUGUUUAUACAGUACAGUUCUAUGUACAUUUGCCCAGUAAGUCCUACUGUAUUCCACUGAACUACUCCCAGGAAAGUGUGCAUAGCAUAGCUUUGCAGCAGCAGUGUUCUUUGCUGCUUCAAACCUGUACACACCUCAUAGGCAUAGAGUUGGAAGGGAGGAGAUAGAUAACAUCCUAUGGUCAGAACUCUGGUUUCUGACUGGGGGGGGGAUUACCCAUGUACUGUAAUGGUUUUAAAAUUCUGAGUUCAGAUGGGCUUUUUUUGCUGUUUGUAUGAUGUUCUGUUUCAUGGCUUUUUAUCAUUUGUACUUCCUGUUUUUUUAAAAAAACAAACCAGAAAAUAGUCAAGAAAUAAUAAUAAAAAAUGCCUGCCCUACUUUCAGAAGGAAAGGGGCGGGAACGGGACACACCACUGCAUAGUGACAGCACAAAAUCUAAUCACAAUAUUAGGAAUUGGUCAUUUAACAGUUCUAACUAAGCCUCUUUUGCUAUUUUGGAAAUGCAAACAUUAUGGGUGGUAAUCAAUGCUAGUCCUACAAUGCUAGUCCCCCUAGAGCAGAUCCACUGAAGUUAAUGGACGUGACUAACUUAACUUAAUCAAUUUCAAUGGGUCUGAGCAAGACUCAACUGAACACAACUCUAAGCGAUGUUUCAAAUCUUCCUGGAAUUGUCUCCCCCUUCCAGAACCUUUGGUGGAAACCAGCUACAGUAUUUUCCUCUUCAAAAUGACAGCUAUUGCAGGACCUAGUUUGCUAGCUAUGCAGCAACGAGCUUCUUUGCUGUCAACAGUACAGGUUGAUUUACAGUAGCAGACUUGGAGAAUCUGAUUACCGAAAGUAGAUGAGCAAAAAGAUAAGAGCUGCAGGGUUUAAAAAGGUAUUUGUCUCAUUAUCCUAGUGACACUGAGCAGACUUUUCUCUUCAGGGAGGUCUGUAGCAAGGACCAGGCUUCUAUGCUGAGCAGAGGUUAUCUGAGGUAGAAGCGUAAUCUCUUAAAUCUGUAGAUAAAUUACAUGCCAGAAAUUAAAUUUUACAGAACAAGGUAACUGCUGACCCAUAAAGGAGUAGAAGGAUGAUUGGUUCCCCAAAACAGAGACUGUUAUCCUAAGUCCAGUUAUGCUGAAGCACUUAAUUUGAGUUGGUUUGUGUGCAUUAGGACUAAUGGCUUGAUCCAGAGAAGUUAUUUCAUCUGGAGCAACACAAACAGUGUUUUGUGCUGUUUCAACUGAAGCAACACCAUGUAUAUUGUGGAACAGAGCCAUGCAGCUCUACAGUACCUGUCAUUAAAACUCAUGAUCUUGAUCCAGCUGAAGUUAAGCAGUUUCAAGCCUUAUUCAUUUCAAUAGAUGAAAUUCCAGCAGGUGCUUAAUGCUGCAAUUGAAACAACAAGAACAACAAGAGCAAUAAUAACAAUAAUUAUAUUUAUAUGCCACCCAUCUGUCUGGGCUGCACCAGCCACUCUGGACGGCUCCCAACAAAAUAUUAAAAACAGAAGAGAAAAAAAUCAAAUGAAUGAAACUUAGAAACAAUUUUUAAAAAUAUAAAAGGGAAUAAAUCUGUUUAAAAGAAACAAAACACACUUCAUUAUUUUAAUCACUGUCAGCUAUCUAUAUAUUUAUGUUGCUAAUAGUCAGAUUUAAAUAUCAGUUAACAUUCCCAAAUUAUAUAUUGAGGGGGAAAGUGUUCUUUUAAGAAUUAAAGGUUGGUUAUCCUCAGUCCUAUCACUUCCAUAUGCAGACAUCUCGGUUCAUUCUGGGUUAUGUAUUUUUUUCUUCUGAUGUGGACUUGGUUUACUGUUAUUGGGCUCUCUCUGUGUGUUUUGGAAAUGUGCCGGCUUUGGAAUCAUGUCACAGCUGCUGUGCUUUUCCCUUCACAGAGGAAGCUAGCUAAAUUAUUUGCAUAGACAGUCCCUUAAUUUAUCUUGUCUUGGUAGCUGCAUUUGUCUCAGAUAAGAAGUAGCAUCUAAUGGAAGCUGAUUCAGAUAGUGCCUUUUAUUAUGCACACACAAAUUUCAAGGCAUACAUUAAAAUGUAAAGCAUGCAUGGAUAUGGCUCUAUGCUGCACGUGUGCAUUUAGUGUUACUGUUGAGUAAUAAAUUAAAAGUAGUCCUAAGACAUUGACCACUGAAAAGACAAGCUGCUUUUUAAAGCAAGCCAAACUUUUCUCUUUGUGCAUGGCUGUGAAUAAAACAUCAAAGCCCCAGUUGCAGCUUUCCUGUGCAUACAGCCCUUUCUUGAAAAAUAGGUAAUUCUUUUAUUAGGAUUAGUUAUUAGAACCAGUUAUUAGAAUGUUGGAUUCAAACUUGUGUCAAAUAAAUCCCUCGGGCAAACAAACAAACAAACAAACAAACAAACAAACAAGCAAAUGCAGUCUUUCAUGUGUACACAAAUUUCCUGGCCUCAAGACAGAAAACAAAAGCUGAAGCAGACAGCUCACUUAUAAAUAUUAGGGGGGGGGGGAUUUAAUCAUAAAUGUGAGUUACAGUUUACAAAAGGUUUUCCCUCCUUUUCAAAUUUACUGCAGCUCUUGUGCAUCAUAGAUUCAGGGCCCAAGGUAAAUGAUUCCAAGGGUGAUGUUUAACU
Molecule: non-coding RNA, 8162 nt
Organism: Podarcis lilfordi (Lilford's wall lizard)
Lineage: Eukaryota; Metazoa; Chordata; Lepidosauria; Squamata; Lacertidae
Source: the annotation of a GenBank genome assembly